UAAGGAUUGAAAUCACAGCCAACAGACGAAAUGGUGUACUGCUUGUAUUCACAGAAGAACUUAAUGAUCGGUCUACGGACGCUUUUAAGGCUUUGGAAGAUGUCUUUUGUGGUGCGGUUUCAACGUAUUUGAAUGUAAGCUUGAAUUCAGCUCAGCUCAUCAGUAUCACAUGUGAGGUAGUCUCUUUCCAAAAUGGUAGUGUGAUUGGUGAUCUUCGAAUCGGUCUCGCAGCACCAUCUCAGGAUUCCGCUGAUAGUCUUGCUCAAUCAGCCACUGACCUAUCACCUGCCAAUGAGACAUUACCCUUUCUCGACGAUUCUCUUUACGUCGAAGAGCUAGCCAUAGACAAAAUGACCACGCCCACAAA
This is a long non-coding RNA of Lytechinus variegatus (green sea urchin), 367 nucleotides long. RefSeq lists it as uncharacterized. NCBI's taxonomy places the organism in Eukaryota, Metazoa, Echinodermata, Echinoidea, Temnopleuroida, Toxopneustidae. The record is from RefSeq and is a predicted model, not a curated record. The transcript is spliced from 3 exons.